This is a long non-coding RNA of Juglans microcarpa x Juglans regia, 567 nucleotides long. RefSeq lists it as uncharacterized. The transcript is spliced from 3 exons. The record is from RefSeq and is a predicted model, not a curated record. NCBI's taxonomy places the organism in Eukaryota, Viridiplantae, Streptophyta, Magnoliopsida, Fagales, Juglandaceae.
UGGCCACUAAUCUACUAAGAACAUUAGGAAUGAUACUUUUGCAUUCUGAAAAUUUCGAGGAACAAUGCUAAUUCCCAUGUUUCGUCUACUCUCAUAUGGUUCCAAACCAUUGAAAAUAUUUAUAUGUAUAUAUUUCUUUCAUUCAUUUGGAUUCAGGUUUUUGGUGAGGCUUACCAAGUAUUGAGGGAUCCAGCCCAACGAGAAGCAUAUGACACUUUUGGUAAAUCAGGAAUCUCGACGUUAGUUUUUUGUUCUUAAUUUAUCAAUCGAUGUAUUUCAAGAGUGAUGUGAAGCAAUUAUCGAUCAUGCAGCUAUCUUUACGAUGCUUUUUGGCAGUGAGCUUUUUGAGGAAUACAUAGGUCAGCUUGUGAUGGCAUCAAUGGCUUCACUAGACAUAUUUACAGAAGGGGAAUAGUUUGACACUAAAAAGCUGCAAGAAAAAAUGAGGGGUCUUGUCUUAUUUCUGUUGUGAGAACAUGAAGUUGGAUGUUUAAUCAUGAUGGAAAUAAAAAGGCUUUAGUAAAAAGAAGGGAAAGGGAAAUAUAAGACUGCUGUUUGGGAACUUUA